RNAcentral lists this ribosomal RNA (280 nucleotides) under uncultured Eubacteriales bacterium. RNAcentral describes it as "uncultured Clostridiales bacterium partial 16S ribosomal RNA". The stretch from base 42 to 280 matches the Rfam family "Bacterial small subunit ribosomal RNA", at positions 100 to 339 of the family's 1533-position model. Lineage: Bacteria; Bacillati; Bacillota; Clostridia; Eubacteriales. The record is from RNAcentral.
UUUGAUUUCCUUCGGGACUGAUUAUUUUGUGACUGAGUGGCGGACGGGUGAGUAACGCGUGGGUAACCUGCCUUGUACAGGGGGAUAACAGUUGGAAACGGCUGCUAAUACCGCAUAAGCGCACAGAGCUGCAUGGCUCAGUGUGAAAAACUCCGGUGGUAUAAGAUGGACCCGCGUUGGAUUAGCUAGUUGGUGAGGUAACGGCCCACCAAGGCGACGAUCCAUAGCCGACCUGAGAGGGUGACCGGCCACAUUGGUACUGAGACACGGACCAAACUCC